GACGAACGCUGGCGGCGUGCUUAACACAUGCAAGUCGAACGGAAAGGCCUGCUUUCCCUUGUGGAUUGCGGGUACUCGAGUGGCGAACGGGUGAGUAACACGUGAGUGAUCUGCCCCCAACUUGGGUAUAAGCCUGGGAAACUGGGUCUAAUUCCCGAUAGGACUGCAGGGUGGUGCCUGUGGUGGAAAACGAUUUUCUAGUGGUGGGGGAUGAGCUCGCGGCCUAUCAGCUUGUUGGGGGGGUAAUGGCCUACCAAGGCGGCGACGGGUAGCCGGCCUGAGAGGGUGGACGGCCACAUUGGGACUGAGAUACGGCCCAGACUCCUACGGGAGGCAGCAGUGGGGAAUAUUGCACAAUGGGCGGAAGCCUGAUGCAGCGACGCCGCGUGGGGGAUGACGGCCUUCGGGUUGUAAACUCCUUUCGACCGCGAGGAAGCCACCUGGUUGGAAGGGUGGUGACGGUAGUGGUAGAAGAAGCACCGGCUAACUACGUG
RNAcentral lists this ribosomal RNA (494 nucleotides) under uncultured bacterium. RNAcentral's name for it is "partial 16S ribosomal RNA". It matches the Rfam family "Bacterial small subunit ribosomal RNA", at positions 28 to 507 of the family's 1533-position model. The record is from RNAcentral.